GACCAAAAUCAUCAUCUUGAACGCGCCCGAGCGAUCUCGUCGGGUCUCGGAAGCUGAGGAGCAUUGAGCCUGGUUAGUACUUGCAUGGGAGACUGUCUGAGACUACCGAUGUUGUAGUCA
Molecule: ribosomal RNA, 120 nt
Filed under: Petromyzon marinus (sea lamprey)
Lineage: Eukaryota; Metazoa; Chordata; Hyperoartia; Petromyzontiformes; Petromyzontidae
Source: RNAcentral